RNAcentral lists this long non-coding RNA (674 nucleotides) under Junco hyemalis (dark-eyed junco). RNAcentral's name for it is "lncRNA (ENSJHYG00000001808.1)". Lineage: Eukaryota; Metazoa; Chordata; Aves; Passeriformes; Passerellidae. The record is from RNAcentral.
UUUUGGGAAUUUUAGGGUAAAAUCUCGGGAAUGUUUGCAUUGAAAUUUGGGAUUUUUAGGGUUAAAAUUUGGGAUUUUUUGCUUUAAAAUUUGGGAAUUUUGGGGAUAAAAUUUGGGAUUUUUGGGAUGGAAUUUUGGGAAUUUUAAUGUAAAAUUUGGGGAAUUUUUGCAUUAAAAUUUGGGAAUUUUGGGGUUAAAAUUUGGGAUUUUUGGGAAAAAAAAUGGGAAUUUUGGGUUGGAAUUUUGGGGUGGAAUUUUGGGAAUUUGAAGGUAAAAUUUGGGGAUUUUUGGGGUAAAAUUUUGGGAUUUUUGGUGGGAAAAAAUUGGAAUUUUGGGUUGGAAUAUUUGGAGGAAAUUCCAGAAUUUUUUGGGGUUAAAAUUUGGGGAUUUUUUCUCAAAAAUUUUGACAAUUUUGGGGAAAAAUUCUGAAUUUUUUGGGUUAAAAAUUGAGAAUUUUGGGAUUCCUGACUCCGCCCCCUUUUUGUUGCCCCUCCCCCCUUUCAGACGGGCGCCCCUCCCCCCUCUGGCGGGGGCAGCUGCGGAGGAUCCGCGAGAACCGAGAGCUGGCGCGCCGCGCCGUCGCCCUGAGCCGCUCCCUGGACGCCGCCAAGCUCCCAGUACAAACCAGUACGGACCAGUAUGGACCAGUAUAAACCAGUAUGGAGCAGGUGAGU